AUGCUGGUUGUCAAACCUAUCCUUUAUGCAUAUGCUUGGGACUGAAGGACGUCAAAACUAAAGUAAUUACUCCAUUUUUGACCUCAACUAAUGUAUGAAUAUAAAAUCUUGAUGCAUUAUCAUUGAGAAAUUAUCAAAUGCAAAAAAUAAGUAUUGCGGAGUUGGAUAACUGAAGUACUGAACAUGGAAGACUCAUAGCAUUGUGUUUCUUCUCUCUUUGUUAAGCAAUUAGAUACAGUUACUUGUGCAUAAAAGCUGCACUCAGAACAACUAGAAAAGCUAUCAAUAUUAUAUCUCACAUCGUAAGUGUAUUACCAGUUUUAUCAUGUACGGACAGAUGUUAGAGUUGAUAACGUAACUGUUAUGCAUGGAGUACAACAGAGACCCUAGGGUGCUUUAUCCUUAGUUAAGAGGGGACUAAAAUGGUUUCCUUUUUCUUGCUUUCUUUUUUGCUCUCUCUGUGCUGGAGGGUGGGUGGGAGGUGAAGGGGUACGGUGUGGUUGAGAACUGUGAUUAAAUCAGGCUUUGGUGGCCAAGUUUCAUUGUGGAGCUUUUGAUUCCUCAUCACGAUUUCGUAGUUUCUUGGAGUUGGAAACUACUCAGAACUGCUGUGCCAUGAACUUGAUCUAAAUUACUGAAGGUCAAUGUGCUCAUGCUAUUUUAAAGCCUUGUAGGUGGCAAAGAUAAUUUGGCUUUAAAACUGGAAACGGUACUGGGCUUCUGUGAUGAAAUGUGCUUGACGGAUAGAGCUGCUAUCCAAGAAGAAGGCCAUCAACCUGACGAAGAGCCAGUGUUUUGGAGAGCGCAAAGCGCAAAAAAGCGACAAGGGCUCGCCUCGCUUCAAAGCGAGUUGCAUUCAUUUCUUGGCAGUGUCAUCAACAACAUAAAAUAGAAGAUGAAAUAGCAUUAUGUGAUCAAAGUAUUCAAAGAAUCUUAGAUGGUAUGAUUUCUAUCUCAGGCUUUAGUAGCUUUUUUUGUUUCAGUUUCUUUGUUCUAGUAUUACUCUUUUUACAUGGCUUGGUACUUUACGGAUCAAAAUUAUUUUCUUCUGCUUGUUGUUUGUUUUCCUCCUCUCUCUUUUGAUCUGUUUAAAGAAAUGAAUGUCAAAUGAACUUAGUUUCUAUCCAAACUAGUUGCCUCUGUAUCUCCUUUUAGAUCCAUUUUAUUCCAAGCUGACAUCGUGAGUGUGUAGUGGGCAUGUCGUAAUGAAUGCAACCUUUAGGAGGUUCAUCCUAGUUAGACUAUUCUCAUGCUGGUUGUCAAACUUAGUUUCUAUCCAAACUAGUUGCCUCUGUAUCUCCUUUUAGAUCCAUUUUAUUCCAAGCUGACAUGGUGAGUGUGUAGUGGGCAUGUCGUAAUGAAUGCAACCUUUAGGAGAUUCAUCAUAGUUAGACUAUUCUCAUGCUGGUUGUCAAACCUACCCACAAACUUCCUUUAUACAUAUGCUUGGGACUGAAGGAAGUCAAAACAAAAGUAACUACUCCAGUUUUUGACCUCAACUAAUGUACGAAUAUAAACCCUGAUGCAUUAUCAUGUGAGAAAUUAUUAAUUGCAAAAAAUCAGUAUUGCUGAGUUGGAUAACU
RNAcentral lists this long non-coding RNA (1583 nucleotides) under Nicotiana benthamiana. RNAcentral describes it as "long non-coding RNA (NBEN_LNC031679)". The record is from RNAcentral. Lineage: Eukaryota; Viridiplantae; Streptophyta; Magnoliopsida; Solanales; Solanaceae.